GAUCUUCUUGAUUGCCUAACCUUGCAGGAGGACGAACUUGAUGAUUUGGUUUGGGAAGAUGAGAUCGAUACAGAGGAGGUCAAGCCAAAGUGGCUAGCGCUUGGGCAUCUACUGUCAACCAAAACGUUUAGUCAGAGCGCCCUCAUUGGUGACAUGUGGGCGACAUGGAAUCCGGCACAGAACGUAGUUUGGAGGAGGAUAAACCCUAACCUCUUCUCCAUCCAAUUCAACUGUUUGGGUGAUUGGAACAAGGCCAUGCACCAAGGUCUCUGGGAUUUCAAAGGUUAUGCAUUAAUUCUUGCUGAGUAUGAUGGUUUCUCCAAGCCUGAAAAAGGUAAAGCUUGA
RNAcentral lists this ribosomal RNA (345 nucleotides) under Triticum aestivum (bread wheat). Its description in RNAcentral is "partial small subunit ribosomal RNA". The record is from RNAcentral. Lineage: Eukaryota; Viridiplantae; Streptophyta; Magnoliopsida; Poales; Poaceae.